UACGUAGGGGGCGAGCGUUGUCCGGAUUUAUUGGGCGUAAAGAGCGUGUAGGCGGCCAGGUAGGUCUGCUGUGAAAACUCGAGGCUCAACCUCGAGACGUCGGCGGAAACCAUCUGGCUAGAGUCCGGAAGAGGAAAGUGGAAUUCCUGGUGUAGCGGUGAAAUGCGCAGAUAUCAGGAAGAACACCAAUGGCGAAAGCAGCUUUCUGGGACGGUACUGACGCUGAGACGCGAAAGCGUGGGGAGCGAACAGG
Molecule: ribosomal RNA, 253 nt
Filed under: uncultured bacterium
Lineage: Bacteria
Description: partial 16S ribosomal RNA
Rfam family: Bacterial small subunit ribosomal RNA
Source: RNAcentral